Molecule: ribosomal RNA, 586 nt
Filed under: uncultured bacterium
Lineage: Bacteria
Description: partial 16S ribosomal RNA
Rfam family: Bacterial small subunit ribosomal RNA
Source: RNAcentral
UGGGGAAUUUUGGACAAUGGGCGAAAGCCUGAUCCAGCAAUGCCGCGUGUGUGAAGAAGGCCUUCGGGUUGUAAAGCACUUUUGUCCGGAAAGAAAUCCUUGGCUCUAAUACAGUCGGGGGAUGACGGUACCGGAAGAAUAAGCACCGGCUAACUACGUGCCAGCAGCCGCGGUAAUACGUAGGGUGCAAGCGUUAAUCGGAAUUACUGGGCGUAAAGCGUGCGCAGGCGGUUUGCUAAGACCGAUGUGAAAUCCCCGGGCUCAACCUGGGAACUGCAUUGGUGACUGGCAGGCUAGAGUAUGGCAGAGGGGGGUAGAGUUCCACGUGUAGCAGUGAAAUGCGUAGAGAUGUGGAGGAAUACCGAUGGCGAAGGCAGCCCCCUGGGCCAAUACUGACGCUCAUGCACGAAAGCGUGGGGAGCAAACAGGAUUAGAUACCCCUGGUAGUCCACGCCCUAAACGAUGUCAACUAGUUGUUGGGGAUUCAUUUCCUUAGUAACGUAGCUAACGCGUGAAGUUGACCGCCUGGGGAGUACGGUCGCAAGAUUAAAACUCAAAUGAAUUGACGGGGUCAUAGCUGUUUCCU